This 7691-nucleotide long non-coding RNA is filed under the name Mus musculus (house mouse). RNAcentral describes it as "long non-coding RNA chr7:3571443-3579134". Lineage: Eukaryota; Metazoa; Chordata; Mammalia; Rodentia; Muridae. The record is from RNAcentral.
GCUCAUGAGGGACUGCCUAGAUUAGGCUAGUCGAGGUGGGAAAACCCACCUUAACUGUGGGCAGUAUCAUCCCAUUGUCUGGGGUCCUGAGCACCAGCAUUGACCAUUUUGGCUAUAUAUGUAAUGUCUUCCUUGGCCAUGAGGAAGACACAUGUGUACACACAGACACACACACACACACGAGUCUCAUUCAUUUGGCAGAAAGCCAUUGAGAAGCUCAGAACCUACUGAUUUGGAGAAAAGAGGAAAAUGUGUGUAAACCAUCCAAUAGUUGCUCAUGUUUACAAAGUGAAACAUAGUCAGUUAUCCUUGUGGACUCACUGGCUACCUCACUGUCUUUACCAAUUCCGUCCGCCUCUCCAACCCACCCACCCACCCCAAAUGGCCCUACUCCUCCUAGGACUUACCAAGACAGAACAAGAUCAAGAAUUGGGAAUUAAUGAUGCCCCUUGUUAACAUACUUUCCCCAGAAUGCAUCUUCAACUUGCUGUUCCUGUUAAAGUUUAAUUCUGGGACCUGCCAGUAAGGGCUGUCCUUCAGUUCUUAAUCUUCAGAGCUAGCCCACAACUUCUGUUUCAUGGUGAUAAUCAGGACCUGAUCUCUCAGCAAAGUAUCAUACCACUUCCUACUGACUUGGUUUUCGUUGGUCUCCAACCACACAGAAAUAAUUCAGACCACCUACUUCUAAGCUUAUUCAUGCAAUUCUACCAAGCUUCUGAGGAAAUGCUAAUCAUAUACUAAUUGGUGUUGUCCCCUGCCCUUUUGUUGUUUGGUUUGUUUCAAUAUUAAUUUUAUUUAUUAUUUGAUAGUUCCAUACAUGUAAACAAUAUAUCUUGAGCAUCUCCAGCCCCAUCUCUAAACUCCCACUUCUCUUAGACACUUCCGUUUUUGUUGGUUUUUUUGUUUUUUUGUUUGUUUGUUUGUUUUUGGAGACAGGGUUUCUCUGUAUAGCCCUGGCUGUCCUGGAACUCACUUUGUAGACCAGGCUGGCCUCGAACUCAGAAAUCCGCCUGCCUCUGCCUCCCAAGUGCUGGGAUUAAAGGCGUGUGCCACCACCACCCGGCUUAGACACUUCCAAUAUAGCCUUCUCCCCACUCCUUGUUCUCUCUGAACUUUUUCAUAAAGCCUUGUGCUCACUAGUUUUAUGUCAACUUGACACAAGCUAGUCAUCUGAGAGGAAGGAACCUCAGUUGAGAAAAAUGCCUCUCUAAGACUGGACUGUGGGCCAGCCUGUGGGACGUUUUCUUAAUUAGUGAUUGAUGGAGGAGUGUUCAGCCCACUGGGGGUGUAAGGGUCCAUGAUUUGCUAAAGAAUGAUACCCUAGACUCAAGUUGUAUGCAAAAGUGAAGAGCUUUUGCUAAAGUCCAGCAUGCUGGGGUCUGCCAAGAUGGAGAUGCCCAGGUUAGUUCCAAGGUCCAAUUUAAAGUGGUUUGGGGGAAUUCCAAGGAUAAAGGUGACCUUUACUUCAUUUGGUUGGCUCUAUCUCCAGAGAAGCCCCAGAAUGGUUGCUAGGGGGCUGGAAAUUGUUGCCGACUCUGCCCUUGCCUCAGGCCAGGUGGUAGGGCAGCCUCUGAUGGUGAGGCAGUUUCUGAUUGGCUGCCUGAGGCCAGGUGGUGGGCAGCCUCUGAUGGUGAGGCAGUUUCUGAUUGGCUGCCUGAGGCCAGGUGGUGGGCAGCCUCUGAUGGUGAGGCAGUUUCUGAUUGGCUGCCUGAGGCCAGGUGGUGGGCAGCCUCUGAUGGUGAGGCAGUUUCUGAUUGGCUGCCUGAGGCCAGGUGGUGGGCAGCCUCUGAUGGUGAGGCAGUUUCUGAUUGGCUGCCUGAGGCCAGGUGGUGGGCAGCCUCUGAUGGUGAGGCAGUUUCUGAUUGGCUGCCUGAGGCCUAGGGUUUUUCCAAUAACUGACUUGCCUGGAUUUGUCUAGUUCUGGGAAACAAAUGUUUAGGUCUAGUCUCCUGACCUACCAGAUUGAAGACUGCCAUGGAGUCAGCGUCUGAGUGAUCCCAUGGGUAGUGCCACCCACUGAGCUGUUGGUCCUGGGUUCUAUAAGAAAGCGGGCUGAGGAAGUCAUGAGGAGCAAGCCAGUAAGCUUCUCCUGCCUCCAGGUUCUGCCUGGUCUCAGUACUGCCUUGGCGCCCCUCAGUGAGCUAUGACUCUAGAAAUGUAAACCAUAUAAACUCUUUCCUCCUGGGGUGCUUUUGCUCUGGUAUCGCAUCACAACGGCAGUAACCCCAAGACACCCACUGAGUCCAGUCCGUGCUAAUUGUUGGAAUGUUGAGUAAUCCUGCAGGCUUGAUUUUGUCUAAUAGCCACAGCUGCAAUGAGUUCACGGCAAUGUCACAUCCUGAAGGUUGUACCAUGCCCAUCUGUCCUCAGACUCUGGCGUUCUAUCUAUCCUAUCUGGUGUUCCUCAAGCCUUGGUUGGGGCGGGAGUGAUAUAAAUGUCCCAUCUAGGGUGCUCAAUAGUCAUUUAUUCUCAGCAUCUUUACAUUCAUCGCUGACUACUGUGGAGAAGUUUCCCUCGCACUAUUGAGUAUAGCUCUAUUAAAUAUGAACAUCAGAAAGGCAGUUUAAUAAUAUGCCCAUGGGAUCCCUUUCUUACUUCAGCCUAGAUUUGUUUGUUCGUUUGUUUUUCAAGACAGAUUUUCUCUGUGUAGUCCUGGCUAUCCUGAAACUGGCUCUGUAUAGGCCAGGUUAGCCUGGAACUCAGAGAUCUGUCUGUCUUCCUGAGCACUGAGGUUAAAGGCCUGUUCCACCACCAGCCAGUUUAUAAUAAAUCUAUUAACCCUCUCUCAACCUAGAAGAAUACUGGAGCUUUUCUUUAAAAGUAUAUUGGUCAAGAGAAAAUUUUAGGUUCUUCUCUGGGAGAAAGGAGACGAAUGAUUCACAAUGAGACGAGGGGGACUGUAACUGACUGUAUUCCAGACAGUACAAACCGGUCUCCCUUCCAACCCCAGCUUCAGAAGUGCAGCAACAGUGCCACCUCCCUGCAGGAGACAACAGGAACCUCAAAGGAAGAGAUUCAGACUGUUAUCAACCUUUGCUCCUAUCCCCUGGAGGAACCAGCCGUCACCUAACACAAUCCCAAUCCAAGUUCCUGUAAUGUGUGACACAAAUUUUAUGAUUUUUUUUUUAACUGCAAAUUGACAACCAGAGGAUAUCGUGAUAAUGGUCAGAAGUCUCUACUAAGAAAGUGAGAAGCGGGUGCUGGAGAGAUGGCUCAGUGGUUAAGAGCACUGGCUGCUGUUGCAGAGGACCCAGAUUCAGUCAACAGCCCCUACUGCUAACAGCCUCCAUAACUCAGGUUCCGGGAAUCAGAGGCUCUUUUCUGACCUUGGGCACAAGGCACACAUGUGAUGAACAGAAAGUGGGGACUGCAGUCAUCAACUCACAGCAGCUAUGGUUACCUACCCAAGACCAAGCCAGUCAAAUCUCAAGAAUGUAUAGGGGAGGAGUUGAGGUCCUGCCUCUAACCAUGGAACUAUUUAUUAGCAGUUUAUAGUCGCUGGGGAAAAGGAGAAUUGUUCUUUUUUAUAUUUUGUAAGAUUUGUUUAGCCAGGCCUUGGUGGCAACGUGCCUUUUAUCCCAACACUCAGGAGGCAAAGGCAGGUGGAUAUCUGUCAGUUCGAGGCUGGCCUGGUCUACAGAGUAUGUUCCAGGAUAGCUAGAACUACAGAGAAACCGUGUCUCAAAAAACAAAAAAACAAAACAGAAAAACAAAAUGAAAUGGCAUUAUUUUAUUCUUGUGUAUGAGUGUUUUGCCUUCAUGUAGCUCAUAUGUGUGGCUGGUGCUCUGGGAGGUCAGAGGAGGGCUUUAGAUCCCCUGUAACUGGAGUUGCAGAUGAUUGUAGGAGCAGAACCCUGGUCCUCUGCAAGAGCAACAAGUGCUCCACCACUGAGCCGUCUCUCCAGCCCUAGAGAUUCAUUCUUUUAGUGGGUAUGGAGACUGGUAGAUUGCUCAUGCUUGCAGAAAGUUUUAAUCCUCAUCUGGGGUUUCUAUUCCACCUUUGACCAUUUAGUUCCUGGAUAAAAGACGCACACCACCUUAUAUUUACAAUAAGCCUUAAUUGGCACUAGAUCUGGGCAGUUAUCUACCUUCUAUGCUAUUAAAAUCUGGUUCCUAUCGAAACCCUGAAUUAUUACUUACUCUGGUUCAUCUGGGCCAGAGUAACUCCAAUUUGCCAGCCUCAGGGCCAUGCUUUCUUGACCCAUGGUGUCUUUCCCUUUCUCCUCACCUUCUCCCCCUCAUGGUUCUUCUCAGGCCCCUAGGCCCAGAAACCAUAACCCCUGCCUAUGUCUCUUCUGCCUAGCUAUUAGCUGUUUGCAUCUUUAUUCACCAAUCAGAAAUAAGUUGGGGGCAAAGUCACAUAGUGUCACUUGGGUCUAUGUGUGGAUUCUCUCGUCUCUGGGGCAACCAGGUCUUGAGGAGCCAGGAUUAGGAUUAGGAUGCAAGCAGCAUCAGGCCAAGCCAGUACAAUGAUUCAGUGAAUGACCACAUACCCAUGGGCAUAUGGGCAGCACUAAUUUGAUAUAGUGGGUAUGGUGGUUUGAAUAUGUAUGGUCUUGUCUUAGUCGGUGUUCUGUUGCUUGGAAGAAACAUCGUUCCCAGUGCAACUCUUAUAAAAGAAAGCAUCUAACUGGGGCCUUGAUUUCCAUUUUAAAGGCGUAGUCCAUUGUCAUCAGGGCAGGAAGCAUGUCAGCAAGCAUGGCAGAUGUGAUGCUGGAAAAGUAGCUGAGAUCUAUACAGUGAUCUGUAAGCAGCAUGUAGGGAAAGAAAAACAGGGCCUGGCUUGGGCCUUUUGAAACUUCAAGGCCCAUCUCCAAUGACACACUUUUUCCCACAAGGCCUUACCUACCUCAACAAGGCCACAUCUCCUAAUCGUGAUGACUAGGCAUUCAAAUCCAUGAGUCUAUGGGCGCCAUUUUUACUCAAACCAUCACAGGCCACAGGCCCUAUAGGUUCAUAUUUGAAUGCAUAGCCACGAGAGAGUGGAACCUUUUGCAAGAAUUAGAAGGCUUAGGAGGUGAGGCUUUGUUGAAAGAAGUAUGUCCCUGGCUGGGUAUUGAGGUUUCAAAAGCCCACACCAGGAGUAGCUCUUCUCUCUCUCUCUCUCUCUCUCUCUCUCUCUCUCUCUCUCUCUCUCUCUCUCUCUCUCUCUUAGAUCAGGGUGUAGAUCUCAACUACUUCCUCAGCAUCAUAUCUUCCAAGCCUGCUGCCAUGCUUCCUGCCAAGCUGAUAAUGAGUUAACUCUCUAAAACUGUAACCAAGCUCCUAAUUAAAUCAAUCUUUUUUUUGUUUGUUUUGUUUUUUUGGGCUUUUGAGACAGCGUUUCUCUGUGUACUCCUGGCUGAAACUCUGUAGACCAGGCUGGCUCAAACUCAAGAGAUCUUCCAGCCUCUGCCUCACCAGUGUUGGGAUUAAAGGCUGCAGCCACCAUGGAUACCUGGCUGGCUGAAUGUUUCUGUUAUGAUAGUUGCCUUGGUUACAGUGUCUCUUUGCAGCUGUAGAACAGUAACUAGAUAAUAAACUAUUGAGAGAGAGAGAGAGAGAGCGAAGUGUAUGAGAGAGCAAGCAUAAAUUUGGGAGGAAGCUAUGUUGGAAUGAUCUGGGGAAAGCUGGUGACGAUGUUGCCAUAUUUCAUUGUCUACAUGUAUGAAAUGCUCAAAGAAUAACUUUUAAUACAUAGAAACUAUUUGUAUGUGAGUGUCUGUGUGGGUUAAUGGCACAUGUGUGGAUACUUGGGGAGGACAGAAAAGAGCAUUGGAGUCCCUGGAACUGGAGUGACAGGCAGUUGUGAGUCACCUGUCAUAGUGUUGGGAACUGAACUCAAGUCUACUGGAACAGAACUAAGUUCUGAGUCAUCUCUCCAGCUCCUGAAAACUUCUCUUAACAUCAGAUACAAGAUAAUGCUUUGUUCUGCAUGUUUAUUCCUCCAAACUCAUACAUAGAAACCUAACUUAGAUAAGGCUUAGGAGUUGGGGGUGUCUGUAGGAGAUGAAGAUGGGGUCUCUUGGGUUUCAGACCCUGGACAAAGGGCUGACUUGCGUAUUUAACAUACCAAAGCUGGGGCUGGCAAGAUGGCUCAGCGGGUAACAACACUGACUUCUCUUCUGAAGGUCCUGAGUUCAAAUCCCAGUAACCACAUGGUGGCUCACAACCACCCAUAAUGAGAUCUGACGGCCUCUUCCAGUGUGUCUGAAGACAGCUACAGUGUACUUAUGUAUAAUAAUAAAUAAAUCUUGGGGCCAAUGGCUCACAACCAUCUGUAUCGCUACAGUGUAUUUAUAUACAUAAUAUAUAAAUCUUAAAAAAAAAAAAAAGCAUACCAAAGCUGACCUGGCCUCCAGGUUCUCCCAGCAUCCCUCAGUCCCUACCUAGCAUAACCCACCCUCUACCCUGAACUUUCCAGCCCAGGGGCUUGCUGGUAUUCUGUCUGGACUCCAUUCCCACAGUUACCUGGCAACAGACAGGUAGGCCUGGUCCACUAUAAACAGAAUCGCUUGCCCCCUCCUUUUGUCUCUCUUAUUAUCACAAGGCUGGUCUUUCUCUCUCUUAAGAGACAUUUUCCUAUAUAAACCAAACAUUUUGCAUUUUGGUCUCUCUCCCUUUCCCUCUCCUCUUCCUCUCUUGUCAUGUACACACACUUUUUCUCUUUCUCUUUCCCCCUCCCCUUUGUCUCCUUUCCCACGGGACUUCCCUGGUCUCAUUCCUUGGGACCACCUGCCUGUAUAUACUUUAAUCUGGCUUCAAUUGGCAUGUUUCACUGGCAGAGAAAUAACAUCAUUCUCCAGUGAGCAGAAUUUGUAUCCAAAAAAAAAAAAAAAAAAAAAAAAGGAGAGACAGACAGAGACAGAGACAGAGAGAUGGUUCAGAGUUAAGAGCACUGACUACAUUUCCAGAGGUCCUGAGUUUAAUUCCCAGCAACCACAAGGUGGCUCACAACCAUCAUCAAUGGGAUCCGAUGCCCUCUUCUGGUGGGUCUGAAGACAGCUACAGUACAUAAAAUAAAUGUACUCAUGUAUAUAAAAUAAAUCUUUUAAUAAAGGGAGAGAGAAAGAGAUAGCUCAGAGAUUAAGAGCACUCUUGCAGAGGAUUGAGGUUCGAUUCCUAGCCUCCACAUACACACCCACACAAAAUAUAAGUCACCUCUUUUCUUGGCUUUUUGGAACAGGGUCUCAGUAUGUCAACUUAGCUGUCCUGGAAUGCCUACGCAGACCAGGCAGGUUUGAAACUCAGGUCUGCCUCCCAAAUGUUGGGAUUAAAGGAGAGCACCACCAUACCUGACUAAUAUAUUUUUUAAGAGUCUUGAUAAGUUGUUUUUCUACCAGUGAAAUGAGCCAAUUCAAACCAGAUUAAAACAUAUAUAAAUGCAGAUUUAUAGGGUGAGUUCACUGGCCCCAAGGAAGAAGGGAAAUUGUCAUGGGAAGGUAGAGAGGGAAGGAAGAGAGAAAGCUCACAUGAAGAGGGAAGGAAAAUAGGACAGAGAGAUCCCCAACUAGCUUUCAAAUAAAUGAGACUCAGACUAUGGUUAUUUUAUUUGGCUUUGGCAAUUACUGGGGGUCACCCUUAAUUUGCUCUUCUAACUGCAGGCCUGGCUACCCUCCCAGCAGUGUACCCCAGAUACUUGCUGUUUCUCCUGGCCAGGAGCUCACGGUUCCUCUCCCCUCUUGGCCUCUUCCUCCUCAUUCUCCCAGUC